AUACGUAUGAGGCAAGCGUUGUUCGGAAUUAUUGGGCGUAAAGGGCAUCUAGGCGGGAUAGUCAGUCUGUUGUAAAAGUUCGGGGCUCAACCCCGUGAAGCAAUGGAAACUGCUAUUCUUGAGUGCAGGAGAGGAAAGUGGAAUUCCCAGUGUAGCGGUGAAAUGCGUAGAUAUUGGGAGGAACACCAGUGGCGAAGGCGACUUUCUGGACUGUGUCUGACGCUGAGGCGCGAAAGCCAGGGGAGC
RNAcentral lists this ribosomal RNA (246 nucleotides) under uncultured bacterium. RNAcentral's name for it is "partial 16S ribosomal RNA". It matches the Rfam family "Bacterial small subunit ribosomal RNA", at positions 523 to 769 of the family's 1533-position model. The record is from RNAcentral.